Molecule: ribosomal RNA, 656 nt
Filed under: Weissella confusa
Lineage: Bacteria; Bacillati; Bacillota; Bacilli; Lactobacillales; Lactobacillaceae
Description: bacterial SSU rRNA
Rfam family: Bacterial small subunit ribosomal RNA
Source: RNAcentral
UGGUUCAACUGAUUUGAAGAGCUUGCUCAGAUAUGACGAUGGACAUUGCAAAGAGUGGCGAACGGGUGAGUAACACGUGGGAAACYUACCUCUUAGCAGGGGAUAACAUUUGGAAACAGAUGCUAAUACCGUAUAACAAUGACAACCGCAUGGUUGUUAUUUAAAAGAUGGUUCUGCUAUCACUAAGAGAUGGUCCCGCGGUGCAUUAGCUAGUUGGUAAGGUAAUGGCUUACCAAGGCGAUGAUGCAUAGCCGAGUUGAGAGACUGAUCGGCCACAAUGGGACUGAGACACGGCCCAUACUCCUACGGGAGGCAGCAGUAGGGAAUCUUCCACAAUGGGCGAAAGCCUGAUGGAGCAACGCCGCGUGUGUGAUGAAGGGUUUCGGCUCGUAAAACACUGUUGUAAGAGAAGAAUGACAUUGAGAGUAACUGUUCAAUGUGUGACGGUAUCUUACCAGAAAGGAACGGCUAAAUACGUGCCAGCAGCCGCGGUAAUACGUAUGUUCCAAGCGUUAUCCGGAUUUAUUGGGCGUAAAGCGAGCGCAGACGGUUAUUUAAGUCUGAAGUGAAAGCCCUCAGCUCAACUGAGGAAUUGCUUUGGAAACUGGAUGACUUGAGUGCAGUAGAGGAAAGUGGAACUCCAUGUGUAGCGGUGA